GUUAGAAACAGGGAACUGGAAUAAAGAGAGUUUUAUUUGUGUUACAUCAACACUUGAAAGAUAAGAAGUCUGGCGAGAGACAUGUAUCAUGUAUAAUUACUGUUUUAUUGUGUAAUUUGUUAUGUCCCUUCCUUUCAAACGAAAGAAAUGCUGGGGAGAGUAAAGGAUCUGAGUUUGCGACUAUUUUAUUGUGGAAUUUGCUACGUCCUGCCUUUUAGAAUGUAAGAAGGCUGGGCUUUCUUGACUAUUUUGUUGUGUUAUUUCCUACGUUCUGCCUUUUAAAACUUAAGAAGGCUGGGGAGAGAUAUGGAUUAGGGAUACUGACUGUUUUAUUGUGUAUUUUCUUAUGUCCCGCCAUUUGAAGCGAAAUAAAGGCUGGGGAGCGACAAGGAUCUGGGUUUAUAACUAUAUUAUUGUGUGGUUUGCUGCGUUCUGCCUUUUAAAACGUAAAAAGACUGGGGAGAGACCAUGAAAACGUAACAACGCUUGGGAGAAACAGUUUUCUGCGGUUAGUUACUGUUUUAAUGUGCGAUUUAUUGCAUCCUGUCCUUUAAAAACGUGAAAGAAGACUGGGGAGAUUCAGGGAACUGGAUUAAAGAGAGUUUUAUUCUGUCACAUCAACAAUUGAAACGUAAGAAGGCUGGGAAGAGGCAUGCAUCAUGUACAAUGACUGUUUUAUUGUGUAAUUUGUUGUGUCCCGCCAUUUCAAGCGAGAGGAAGGCUGGGGAGAGACACAAUAUCUGGUUUUAUAACUAUUUUAUUGUGUAAUUUGCUAUCAGUACCACGUGGUUUACUAAAAAUCAAUAUUUUAUUGUGUUCCUAGGUUGCAUUGCACGUUCUGCACGUUCACAAUGUGCAUUACGUAUAACGUUCCAUCAUCCGAAACCAGUGACUAACUCUAUUUGACCGUCUCGAGCAUCUUCUCGCUGUAGCGCAGUCGGUUAAGCGGUUGGUACAAACGAUGCAGACAUCGAGCUGGAGGUUGGUGGUUCGAAUCCAGUGAAAGGUUGCAUUGCACGUUCUGCACGUUCACAAUGUGCAUUACGUAUAACGUUCCAUCAUCCGAAACCAGUGACUAACUCUAUUUGACCGUCUCGAGCAUCUUCUCGCUGUAGCGCAGUCGGUUAAGCGGUUGGUACAAACGAUGCAGACAUCGAGCUGGAGGUUGGUGGUUCGAAUCCAGUGAAAGGUUGCAUUGCACGUUCUGCACGUUCACAAUGUGCAUUACGUAUAACGUUCCAUCAUCCGAAACCAGUGACUAACUCUAUUUGACCGUCUCGAGCAUCUUCUCGCUGUAGCGCAGUCGGUUAAGCGGUUGGUACAAACGAUGCAGACAUCGAGCUGGAGGUUGGUGGUUCGAAUCCAGUGAAAGGUUGCAUUGCACGUUCUGCACGUUCACAAUGUGCAUUACGUAUAACGUUCCAUCAUCCGAAACCAGUGACUAACUCUAUUUGACCGUCUCGAGCAUCUUCUCGCUGUAGCGCAGUCGGUUAAGCGGUUGGUACAAACGAUGCAGACAUCGAGCUGGAGGUUGGUGGUUCGAAUCCAGUGAAAGGUUGCAUUGCACGUUCUGCACGUUCACAAUGUGCAUUACGUAUAACGUUCCAUCAUCCGAAACCAGUGACUAACUCUAUUUGACCGUCUCGAGCAUCUUCUCGCUGUAGCGCAGUCGGUUAAGCGGUUGGUACAAACGAUGCAGACAUCGAGCUGGAGGUUGGUGGUUCGAAUCCAGUGAAAGGUAAGUUAUAUUUAAAUGAUUGUUUGUAAUGUGGAUGCCCAUACGUAAUGUGAAUAGGAAGCUCAGAAUGAAGGUAGAAGUAGUGGAUAGAAGACCCAUCCCCUCCCCCCCCCCCCCCACACACACACA
RNAcentral lists this long non-coding RNA (1867 nucleotides) under Gigantopelta aegis. Its description in RNAcentral is "uncharacterized LOC121390994". Lineage: Eukaryota; Metazoa; Mollusca; Gastropoda; Neomphalida; Peltospiridae. The record is from RNAcentral.